UACAGAGGGGGCAAGCGUUAUUCGGAAUUAUUGGGCGUAAAGGGCGCGUAGGCGGCUUGGCAAGUGGAUGGUGAAAUCCCUCGGCUUAACCGAGGAACUGCCGUCCAAACUGCUUCGCUUGAGACCAGGAGAGGUGAGUGGAAUUCCCAGUGUAGCGGUGAAAUGCGUAGAUAUUGGGAGGAACACCAGUGGCGAAGGCGGCUCACUGGCCCGGUACUGACGCUGAGGUGCGAAAGCGUGGGGAGCAAACAGG
This 253-nucleotide ribosomal RNA is filed under the name uncultured bacterium. RNAcentral's name for it is "partial 16S ribosomal RNA". It matches the Rfam family "Bacterial small subunit ribosomal RNA", at positions 524 to 776 of the family's 1533-position model. The record is from RNAcentral.